AUUGAACGCUGGCGGCAGGCCUAACACAUGCAAGUCGAGCGAGCGGCGGACGGGUGAGUAAUGUCUGGGAAACUGCCUGAUGGAGGGGGAUAACUACUGGAAACGGUAGCUAAUAACGCAUACCAUCAGAUGUGCCCAGAUGGGAUUAGCUAGUCGGGGGGGUAACGGCUCACCUAGGCGACGAUCCCUAGCUGGUCUGAGAGGAAGACCGGCCACACUGGAACUGUGACACGGUCCAUACUCCUACGGUAGGCAGCAGUGGGGAAUAUUUCCCAAUGGGCGCAAGCCUGAUGCAGCCAUGCAGCGGGUAUGAAGAAGGCCUUCGGUUUGUAAAGUACUUUCAGCGGGGAGGCGUUACCCGCAGAAGAAGCACCGGCUAACUCCGUGCCAGCAGCCGCGGUAAUAC
This 406-nucleotide ribosomal RNA is filed under the name uncultured bacterium. Its description in RNAcentral is "partial 16S ribosomal RNA". It matches the Rfam family "Bacterial small subunit ribosomal RNA", at positions 30 to 526 of the family's 1533-position model. The record is from RNAcentral.